This 215-nucleotide non-coding RNA is filed under the name Thermoanaerobacter pseudethanolicus ATCC 33223. The record is from RNAcentral. Lineage: Bacteria; Bacillati; Bacillota; Clostridia; Thermoanaerobacterales; Thermoanaerobacteraceae.
GAAUAACAAGCAAAUACAGGUGCCCAAUUUUGCAGUCAAAAUUGGGUUAAAAGGGAAGCCAGGUGAAAGUCCUGCACGGUCCCGCCACUGUGAUGGUGAGCUCUUUACAUUAUGCCACUGUCCGGCACUCAGCGAAUACUUGGUGAAUGCCGGGUGGGAAGGCGUAAAGAGCGAUGAACCUAAGUCAGGAGACCUGCCUGUAUUUGUGUUACACU